CGUACAUGACAUUAUACAUGAUGGGUAAACCAGUCUGGAAUCCUAUUCCCCGAAAAUAUAAUUCCACCUGAAAGUGCCUCCUCAAGUUGUCCCUGUUGAAUGAUUAUCAUUAUAACUUUCAGUAAUACAACCCAUAAACAUUAAUGGCAUACACAAAUACGUAUAAGAGAGAGA
Molecule: long non-coding RNA, 174 nt
Organism: Juglans microcarpa x Juglans regia
Lineage: Eukaryota; Viridiplantae; Streptophyta; Magnoliopsida; Fagales; Juglandaceae
Exons: 3
Source: RefSeq, a predicted model, not a curated record